UGGAGUGACUGGAUGGAGCACGCCGCGUGUGUGAUGAAGGGUUUCGGCUCGUAAAACACUGUUGUAAGAGAAGAAUGACAUUGAGAGUAACUGUUCAAUGUGUGACGGUAUCUUACCAGAAAGGAACGGCUAAAUACGUGCCAGCAGCCGCGGUAAUACGUAUGUUCCAAGCGUUAUCCGGAUUUAUUGGGCGUAAAGCGAGCGCAGACGGUUAUUUAAGUCUGAAGUGAAAGCCCUCAGCUCAACUGAGGAAUUGCUUUGGAAACUGGAUGACUUGAGUGCAGUAGAGGAAAGUGGAACUCCAUGUGUAGCGGUGAAAUACGUAGAUAUAUCCCCAGCCUCUCCUACUGCUA
This 353-nucleotide ribosomal RNA is filed under the name bacterium. RNAcentral describes it as "bacterial SSU rRNA". It matches the Rfam family "Bacterial small subunit ribosomal RNA", at positions 373 to 718 of the family's 1533-position model. The record is from RNAcentral.